This 1210-nucleotide long non-coding RNA is filed under the name Olea europaea subsp. europaea. Lineage: Eukaryota; Viridiplantae; Streptophyta; Magnoliopsida; Lamiales; Oleaceae. The record is from RNAcentral.
CAUGAAAAGCUGGUGACCAUGAUAGCCCAAAUGUCUUCAAAUCUUAAAAUUGGAUAAAAAAGUAAAGGAAAAGAGAGACCUAAUGUUAAUUUCAGUUUUGGGAGUGUGAUAACUACACAAUGGGCUAGUAGUAAUGAGAAUAGUGUUUUUACUAAAGGGAAAAUCAAGGGAAGUGGUAGAUUUCCUAGAAUUGAUUUCCCCCCAAUUUGGGGAAGAACGACCCAGGGAAUGGCUGAGGAAAGCUAUGGAAUAUUUUCAACUCCAUCAAAUUUCUGAUGAACUUAGAUUGGGAGUUGCAAAGAUGUAUUUGAAAGGGAAAGCUGAUAUAUGGUUUUAUGUAUUCAUUGCAAGCAAUCCUAAUGCAGAUUGAAGAAUCUUCUCUACAGAGUUAUGUAAGAGAUUUGAUAUGAAUACUGAAAUUAUUAAGGCUACAUCUGCCCUAAGGUGGAACAACAGGAUGAUGAAGGAGACGGGGGACUAGAACCUGUAGAUGAAAGUGAAAGCAAAAGGCAAGGAGAUGCUGAAAUUGAGGGUGAGGUUAAACCACAAGAUGUUGAUAGUCAAUAGGUUGAGAGUCAUGACUUUGUAGAUGGAAAACAUAUUUUGGUUGGUAACUGAAAGUUGCUAACUGAAAAUCAAGUUCAUAUACCAAGCCUUAUGGAGAUUUCUAUCACUGCUUUAUCAGGAAAUUCAGGGUAUAAAACUAUCAGAAUUUCUGCAAUUUUAAAGGGAAAGAGGAUAUCUAUUUUAAUAGAUAGUGGAAUCACACAUAGUUUCAUAGAUGAGAGACUGGAUAAGGAGCUAUAUUACGCUACUGAGGAAACCAAAACCAUGACAAUGAGAGUGGCUAAUGGUGAAAAGUUGGAGAGUAAGGCUUUGAAUCAACCAUUGGUAUGAAAGGUUCAUAAUUGGGAGUUCUAGUAUAAAUUGAGAACUUUGAAGUUAGGAGGUAGUGAUAUGGUAUUAGGGGUAAAUUGGAUGAGUAAAUUUGACCUUCAAAGGUAAAUGAUAUGUAAAGUUAAAAUACCAGCAGAAAGACAUAAUCUUGAGGAGUGAAGGCUCAAAACCCCGGGUUAAAACGAUGGAAGUAGAAAAAAUGGAGAAUUUGUUUAAAAGAUACAAUUAUGGAGUGGCUGGACAUUUGUAUAAUAUCAUGGAGAAAGAGAAAGAAAAAGUUCCAUCCCAAAUCACUGAGGUUAUUAGCCAAUAU